GAUGAACGCUGGCGGCGUGCCUAAUACAUGCAAGUCGAGCGAACGGACGAGAAGCUUGCUUCUCUGAUGUUAGCGGCGGACGGGUGAGUAACACGUGGAUAACCUACCUAUAAGACUGGGAUAACUUCGGGAAACCGGAGCUAAUACCGGAUAAUAUUUUGAACCGCAUGGUUCAAAAGUGAAAGACGGUCUUGCUGUCACUUAUAGAUGGAUCCGCGCUGCAUUAGCUAGUUGGUAAGGUAACGGCUUACCAAGGCAACGAUGCAUAGCCGACCUGAUAGGGUGAUAGGCCACACUGGAACUGAGACACGGUCCUGACUCCUACGGGAGGCAGCAGUAGGGAAUCUUCCGCAAUGGGCGAAAGCCUGACGGAGCAACGCCGCGUGAGUGAUGAAGGUCUUCGGAUCGUAAAACUCUGUUAUUAGGGAAGAACAUAUGUGUAAGUAACUGUGCACAUCUUGACGGUACCUAAUCAGAAAGCCACGGCUAACUACGUG
This 497-nucleotide ribosomal RNA is filed under the name uncultured bacterium. Its description in RNAcentral is "partial 16S ribosomal RNA". It matches the Rfam family "Bacterial small subunit ribosomal RNA", at positions 28 to 507 of the family's 1533-position model. The record is from RNAcentral.